UACGGAGGGUGCAAGCGUUGUCCGGAUUUAUUGGGUUUAAAGGGUGCGUAGGUGGCGGGGUAAGUCUGGUGUGAAAUCCUGGGGCUCAACCCCGGAACUGCACUGGAUACUGCUUUGCUAGAGUACUGGAGAGGGAACUGGAAUUUACGGUGUAGCAGUGAAAUGCGUAGAUAUCGUAAGGAAGACCAGUGGCGAAGGCGAGUUCCUGGACAGUUACUGACACUGAGGCACGAAGGCCAGGGGAGCAAACGGG
This 253-nucleotide ribosomal RNA is filed under the name uncultured bacterium. RNAcentral describes it as "partial 16S ribosomal RNA". It matches the Rfam family "Bacterial small subunit ribosomal RNA", at positions 524 to 776 of the family's 1533-position model. The record is from RNAcentral.